CAGUAGGGAAUCUUCCGCAAUGGACGAAAGUUUGAUGGAGCAACGCCGCGUGAGCGAUGAAGGCCUUCGGGUCGUAAAGCUCUGUUGUUAGGGAAGAACAAGUACCGUUCAAAUAGGGCGGUACCAUGACGGUACCUAACCAGAAAGCCACGGCUAACUACGUGCCAGCAGCCGCGGUAAUACGUAGGUGGCAAGCGUUGUCCGGAAUUAUUGGGCGUAAAGCGCGCGCAGGCGGUCCUUUAAGUCUGAUGUGAAAGCCCACGGCUCAACCGUGGAGGGUCAUUGGAAACUGGGGAACUUGAGGACAGAAGAGGAGAGUGGAAUUCCACGUGUAGCGGUGAAAUGCGUAGAUAUGUGGAGGAACACCAGUGGCGAAGGCGACUCUCUGGUCUGUUUCUGACGCUGAGGUGCGAAAGCGUGGGUAGCAAACAGGAUUAGAUACCCUGGUAGUCCACGCCGUAAACGAUGAGUGCUAGGUGUUAGGGGGCUUCCACCCCUUAGUGCUGAAGUUAACGCAUUAAGCACUCCGCCUGGGGAGUACGGCCGCAAGGCUGAAACUCAAAGGAAUUGACGG
This 574-nucleotide ribosomal RNA is filed under the name uncultured Bacillota bacterium. RNAcentral's name for it is "bacterial SSU rRNA". It matches the Rfam family "Bacterial small subunit ribosomal RNA", at positions 352 to 916 of the family's 1533-position model. The record is from RNAcentral. Lineage: Bacteria; Bacillati; Bacillota.